This 484-nucleotide ribosomal RNA is filed under the name uncultured bacterium. Its description in RNAcentral is "partial 16S ribosomal RNA". It matches the Rfam family "Bacterial small subunit ribosomal RNA", at positions 29 to 507 of the family's 1533-position model. The record is from RNAcentral.
AUUGAACGCUGGCGGCAUGCUUUUCACAUGCAAGUCGAACGGCAGCGCGGGCUUCGGCCUGGCGGCGAGUGGCGAACGGGUGAGUAAUACAUCGGAACGUGCCCAGUAGUGGGGGAUAGCUCGGCGAAAGCCGGAUUAAUACCGCAUACGACCUGAGGGUGAAAGCGGGGGAUCUUCGGACCUCGCGCUAUUGGAGCGGCCGAUGGCAGAUUAGCUAGUUGGUGGGGUAAAGGCCUACCAAGGCGACGAUCUGUAGCUGGUCUGAGAGGACGACCAGCCACACUGGGACUGAGACACGGCCCAGACUCCUACGGGAGGCAGCAGUGGGGAAUUUUGGACAAUGGGCGAAAGCCUGAUCCAGCAAUGCCGCGUGUGUGAUGAAGGCCUUCGGGUUGUAAAGCACUUUUGGCGGGAACGAAAAGGACUGUGCCAAUACCACGGUUCGAUGACGGUACCCGCAGAAUAAGCACCGGCUAACUACGUG